GAUGAACGCUGGCGGCGUGCCUAAUACAUGCAAGUCGAGCGAACAGACGAGGAGCUUGCUUCUCUGACGUUAGCGGCGGACGGGUGAGUAACACGUGGAUAACCUACCUAUAAGACUGGGAUAACUUCGGGAAACCGGAGCUAAUACCGGAUAAUAUAUUGAACCGCAUGGUUCAAUAGUGAAAGACGGUUUUGCUGUCACUUAUAGAUGGAUCCGCGCCGCAUUAGCUAGUUGGUAGGGUAACGGCUUACCAAGGCAACGAUGCGUAGCCGACCUGAGAGGGUGAUCGGCCACACUGGAACUGAGACACGGUCCAGACUCCUACGGGAGGCAGCAGUAGGGAAUCUUCCGCAAUGGGCGAAAGCCUGACGGAGCAACGCCGCGUGAGUGAUGAAGGUCUUCGGAUCGUAAAACUCUGUUAUUAGGGAAGAACAAAUGCGUAAGUAACUAUGCACGUCUUGACGGUACCUAAUCAGAAAGCCACGGCUAACUACGUG
Molecule: ribosomal RNA, 497 nt
Filed under: uncultured bacterium
Lineage: Bacteria
Description: partial 16S ribosomal RNA
Rfam family: Bacterial small subunit ribosomal RNA
Source: RNAcentral